UCUCAGGAUUUCCAAAGGACACAGUCUCCAGAUAAGGCUCUUUGCACAAGCUCAUUCAGCAUGAGAUCAGCGGCUCCCCUCUUGCUCCUUUUCAUUCUGGCUCUCAGUGAUCAAGCACAUUGUCAGAACUUUACUGAAUUUGAAAGGAAACACAUGCUCCCAAUUCAGUUCAAUACCAAGGAUGUACGUGCUUGGAGGAAGCAUCUAUUGGACAAUAAACUCUGUGGAAGAACUGAAACACAAUCGUUCAUCAAGAGCCAUGUGAAAAAUAUAAAAAAAAUCUGUACUGGCUCUGGUAAAAUAAAAAAUAACUAUACCGAAAGUACAGAUCUCUUUGAAGUGUACAUUGUUAAAAGCACUCAGGGAAUACAACCAAUGUGUAUCAUUCGAAAAUGUACUUCAGGCAAAUAUAAUGUUAUUGUUAAAUGUGAGGGGAAUCUACCUGUGCAUUAUAACGGUCAACAUAUUGAUAAGAACAAAAGUCCUCAGCCUUGCUUUAAAAUGAGCAUGAUCUGAUUUCAUCACAGUGAGGAUCUGAAGGAGGAGGCUUUGAAAUGUUGCUUUUAACCAUUCAUUAAAAAUGUUGCUACGCCACAUGCUUAAAUUGGAUAUAAAUCCAAAAGCAUCUUAAUAAAGCUUUUUCUGCAGAGCAGUUUUGUAAAAUGUACACGUAUCAAAUGUAAACCCUGAAUCCAAUGUAAGUCACUUUGAAUAAAAGCAUCUGCCAAAAGCA
Labeo rohita (rohu) is the source of this 733-nucleotide long non-coding RNA. RefSeq lists it as uncharacterized. NCBI's taxonomy places the organism in Eukaryota, Metazoa, Chordata, Actinopteri, Cypriniformes, Cyprinidae. The record is from RefSeq and is a predicted model, not a curated record. The transcript is spliced from 2 exons.